UGAAAUAUAACUAUAUGAAUAACAUGCUAAACAUUCAUUUAUUCCAGUAAAGCACAUCAAGCGUAUCCAUAUAGCUGAAAAAGAGCCAUAUCCUCAUCCAUUGUAUAUAAAAACCUGCAUUGCAAAGUUUAAGAAAAUACCUGAAUUGCAGAAAAUAAAUACAGCGGUGAAGAAAUAGAGCUUAGCAGAAGAAAACAAAACAGCUACAAACACAGCAGAAAACUGUAGCAAUUUCGUGUUUAAACAGCCCGAAAACCUUAGAAGAAACCCAGAACCAGCUCUAAAGAAGACUUAUACUUUUCUAAAAGUUUGCACUCUAAAAUUUACUCACAAAGCUCACCAUUUCAGCUUACUAAAGGGUGCUUUAGUUGUUGAUUUUUUACUCUCCAAGUUGUAUUUUUAGGGUGUAAAGACUGUCCAACAAAAAUGUGAUCCAGUGUCCUGAAGUGAGGAAAUAGCAACCCCCUUAAAUAGGCAAAUAAAGUCACUUUUUGGGAUAGAUUUUGGUUCCCCAAAAAUCUGUCCAAAAGACUAAUUUUGUGUGCUAAACACAGUUCAAAUUCUGUCCAAAAUGUGAAAGGACGGCCUGAAAAUCUGCUAUGUCAGAAGUAAGGAGAAAAAAUAUCAUUUCAGUCACCCUACUAGUAAAAGUAGGCUACUAUUACCCUAUUUUAUGAUAAUAGAACCUAAACUUCAGAUUUUAACCAUCAACAACUAACUACUUGCUCAACACAAAUCAAACUUGAACUAUGAACUGACAAAGCAUAAACGAGACUAAAAACAUAAUUGAACUAAGUAUUCAAACCAACUUGAUUGAAAUGAAUUCGAUUUUUGCAAACUAAUUACUAAACAAACAACUAAAUUCACAAACUAAAUGCUCAAACCAGAACGAGCAUCGUUAACAAUCGGACAACGACUAACAACAAGUAAAUAAUUGACAAACUAAGUGAACGAUUUAGCUAAUACACUAAAGAUCAUGUUUAAAUCAAUAACAAUCUAACAAACCACUAAACUAAAUAGAGAUAACUAAUUAAAUAAACCUAACUUGAAACUCUAAAUAACAAGAAACAACCAAAACAAAAAAAUCAAAAAUCAGAAACUAAUCUACUAAUAUAAAAAAUCAGAAAUUAAUUAAAGAGAUGACGAUUAUACCUAACGUGUAUGCUUGAAGUUGUUCGAGCCACGAGAAGACGCCGGAGAUGCUAAAAGGCGACUUCCCGACUAAACGCACGUUUCUUUCGGGUAGAUGCUAGAACGAAAUGAGUUUCAGCAUCUCGCCAAAAGAAACGAGUGUCUUUGAGUCGAAAAAUAGCUAAGAUGGGGAUUCGGUGCAUUUUGGCGGCGGUAAGGCAGUGAAGCCGCGGCGAGCAGUGGGCAGCGGACCGGCGACGACAGGGAUUUUGGGGGUGAAAUGGGUAGGAAAUGAUAGGUCUCGUGGAGCUCUAUCCAUUCAUGUAUGUGUUGUAGGGUUGUAUUGGCCAGAGCUUCGAGAAUUUGAGCCAAAAAGUGGCGGCUAAAAUUUCCUAGAUCUAAAAUUCAAAGAGUUUGAGGGGGUUUUGAAGGAAUUGGUUUGGAGAUAUGGGAAGAGGAGGUUGUGGAGAUUACAUGAUGUUAAUUUGGAGGUGUUUGGAGGUGGUCAGCCGCCGGUGGGUGAUUUCUGGCGGCGGCGGAGAGAAGAGAGAAAAGAGAGAAGAGAGAAGAGAGAAAGAGUUA
RNAcentral lists this long non-coding RNA (1713 nucleotides) under Nicotiana tabacum (common tobacco). RNAcentral describes it as "long non-coding RNA (NTAB_LNC003632)". The record is from RNAcentral. Lineage: Eukaryota; Viridiplantae; Streptophyta; Magnoliopsida; Solanales; Solanaceae.